UCGAUUCCCUUAGUAGCGGCGAGCGAAACGGGAAGAGCCCAAACCAACAAGCUUGCUUGUUGGGGUUGUAGGACACUCUAUACGGAGUUACAAAGGACGACAUUAGACGAAUCAUCUGGAAAGAUGAAUCAAAGAAGGUAAUAAUCCUGUAGUCGAAAAUGUUGUCUCUCUUGAGUGGAUCCUGAGUACGACGGAGCACGUGAAAUUCCGUCGGAAUCUGGGAGGACCAUCUCCUAAGGCUAAAUACUCUCUAGUGACCGAUAGUGAACCAGUACCGUGAGGGAAAGGUGAAAAGCACCCCGGAAGGGGAGUGAAAUAGAACCUGAAACCGUGUGCUUACAAGUAGUCAGAGCCCGUUAAUGGGUGAUGGCGUGCCUUUUGUAGAAUGAACCGGCGAGUUACGAUUUGAUGCAAGGUUAAGCAGUAAAUGUGGAGCCGUAGCGAAAGCGAGUCUGAAUAGGGCGUUUAGUAUUUGGUCGUAGACCCGAAACCAGGUGAUCUACCCUUGGUCAGGUUGAAGUUCAGGUAACACUGAAUGGAGGACCGAACCGACUUACGUUGAAAAGUGAGCGGAUGAACUGAGGGUAGCGGAGAAAUUCCAAUCGAACCUGGAGAUAGCUGGUUCUCUCCGAAAUAGCUUUAGGGCUAGCCUCAAGUGAUGAUUAUUGGAGGUAGAGCACUGUUUGGACGAGGGGCCCCUCUCGGGUUACCGAAUUCAGACAAACUCCGAAUGCCAAUUAAUUUAACUUGGGAGUCAGAACAUGGGUGAUAAGGUCCGUGUUCGAAAGGGAAACAGCCCAGACCACCAGCUAAGGUCCCAAAAUAUAUGUUAAGUGGAAAAGGAUGUGGCGUUGCCCAGACAACUAGGAUGUUGGCUUAGAAGCAGCCAUCAUUUAAAGAGUGCGUAAUAGCUCACUAGUCGAGUGACACUGCGCCGAAAAUGUACCGGGGCUAAACAUAUUACCGAAGCUGUGGAUUGUCCUUUGGACAAUGGUAGGAGAGCGUUCUAAGGGCGUUGAAGCAUGAUCGUAAGGACAUGUGGAGCGCUUAGAAGUGAGAAUGCCGGUGUGAGUAGCGAAAGACGGGUGAGAAUCCCGUCCACCGAUUGACUAAGGUUUCCAGAGGAAGGCUCGUCCGCUCUGGGUUAGUCGGGUCCUAAGCUGAGGCCGACAGGCGUAGGCGAUGGAUAACAGGUUGAUAUUCCUGUACCACCUAUAAUCGUUUUAAUCGAUGGGGGGACGCAGUAGGAUAGGCGAAGCGUGCGAUUGGAUUGCACGUCUAAGCAGUAAGGCUGAGUAUUAGGCAAAUCCGGUACUCGUUAAGGCUGAGCUGUGAUGGGGAGAAGACAUUGUGUCUUCGAGUCGUUGAUUUCACACUGCCGAGAAAAGCCUCUAGAUAGAAAAUAGGUGCCCGUACCGCAAACCGACACAGGUAGUCAAGAUGAGAAUUCUAAGGUGAGCGAGCGAACUCUCGUUAAGGAACUCGGCAAAAUGACCCCGUAACUUCGGGAGAAGGGGUGCUCUUUAGGGUUAACGCCCAGAAGAGCCGCAGUGAAUAGGCCCAAGCGACUGUUUAUCAAAAACACAGGUCUCUGCUAAACCGUAAGGUGAUGUAUAGGGGCUGACGCCUGCCCGGUGCUGGAAGGUUAAGAGGAGUGGUUAGCUUCUGCGAAGCUACGAAUCGAAGCCCCAGUAAACGGCGGCCGUAACUAUAACGGUCCUAAGGUAGCGAAAUUCCUUGUCGGGUAAGUUCCGACCCGC
RNAcentral lists this ribosomal RNA (1760 nucleotides) under Staphylococcus aureus. RNAcentral describes it as "partial 23S ribosomal RNA". It matches the Rfam family "Bacterial large subunit ribosomal RNA", at positions 231 to 1991 of the family's 2925-position model. Lineage: Bacteria; Bacillati; Bacillota; Bacilli; Caryophanales; Staphylococcaceae. The record is from RNAcentral.